This 491-nucleotide ribosomal RNA is filed under the name uncultured bacterium. RNAcentral's name for it is "partial 16S ribosomal RNA". It matches the Rfam family "Bacterial small subunit ribosomal RNA", at positions 29 to 507 of the family's 1533-position model. The record is from RNAcentral.
AUUGAACGCUGGCGGCAUGCUUUACACAUGCAAGUCGAACGGUAACAGGCCUUCGGGUGCUGACGAGUGGCGAACGGGUGAGUAAUGCAUCGGAACGUACCCAGAGGUGGGGGAUAACGCAGCGAAGCUGUGCUAAUACCGCAUGUGAUCUGAGGAUGAAAGCGGGGGACCGAGCAGCAAUGUUUGGCCUCGCGCCUUUGGAGCGGCCGAUGUCGGAUUAGCUAGUUGGUGGGGUAAAGGCCUACCAAGGCGACGAUCCGUAGCUGGUCUGAGAGGACGACCAGCCACACUGGGACUGAGACACGGCCCAGACUCCUACGGGAGGCAGCAGUGGGGAAUUUUGGACAAUGGGCGCAAGCCUGAUCCAGCAAUGCCGCGUGCGGGAAGAAGGCCUUCGGGUUGUAAACCGCUUUUGGCAGGAACGAAACGGUGUCCGCUAAUACCGGGCGCUAAUGACGGUACCUGCAGAAUAAGCACCGGCUAACUACGUG